GUCUCUGUGGUGCAAUGGGUCAGCGAGUUUGGCUGUUAAUCAAAAGAAUGGUGGUUCGAGCCCACCCAGGGAUG
Molecule: transfer RNA, 74 nt
Filed under: Chrysemys picta bellii (western painted turtle)
Lineage: Eukaryota; Metazoa; Chordata; Testudines; Emydidae
Description: tRNA-Asn (GTT) (tRNA-Asn-GTT-10-1)
Rfam family: tRNA
About the family: Transfer RNA (tRNA) molecules are approximately 80 nucleotides in length. Their secondary structure includes four short double-helical elements and three loops (D, anti-codon, and T loops).
Source: Rfam by way of RNAcentral